CCUACGGGAGGCAGCAGUGAGGAAUAUUGGUCAAUGGGCGGGCGCCUGAACCAGCCAAGUCGCGUGAGGGAGGACGGUCCUAUGGAUUGUAAACCUCUUUAGGCGGGGAGCAAUGCCGGGCACGCGUGCCCGGAGGGAGAGUACCCGCAGAAUAAGCAUCGGCUAACUCCGUGCCAGCAGCCGCGGUAAUACGGAGGAUGCGAGCGUUAACCGGAUUUAGUGGGUUUAAAGGGUGCAUAGGCGGAUUUUUAAGUCAGCGGUAAAAUGUUCGGGCUCAACCCGGGCCGGCCGUUGAAACUGGGGAUCUUGAGAGGGCGAGAAGUAUGCGGAAUGCGUGGUGUAGCGGUGAAAUGCAUAGAUAGCACGCAGAACUCCGAUUGCGAAGGCAGCAUACCGGCGCCCGACUGACGCUGAGGCACGAAAGCGUGGGGAUCGAACAGGAUUAGAUACCCCGGUAGUC
RNAcentral lists this ribosomal RNA (460 nucleotides) under uncultured bacterium. RNAcentral describes it as "partial 16S ribosomal RNA". It matches the Rfam family "Bacterial small subunit ribosomal RNA", at positions 338 to 795 of the family's 1533-position model. The record is from RNAcentral.